CCAGGAAAACGAUAGAAUUAGCCAGGAAGUUAUUCCUCUUGAGCACAUGAAUGCUCUUUACCAAGGUCCUCGUCUCUACCCAUCAGCCGAAUGUCCCACUUGUUUUCUCACCAUCUAGCACCUCUGCUAGAGAUGACCCCGCCCCUCAGAUUGUGGGCUUCAGUUUCAACUGGCUCAGCUCCUGUUUGCCUUUCUAUGAUAUGAAACUAUUUCCAUGAGGCAAUGAGGAACCAGGCGGAAAUCCAGUGACAGAAAGCCGGUGUUAUAACACACGGAAUAUAAAAAACACUUACUUCAUUCCCUGACCAUCUCUUAUCACCACUGUCCACACUAUUGAAGCCUGAAUCAAGGGCUCCAUAAGGGCGACUUGAGUACAGUUCUUCAUGGCUGCCAAAAAGAGACUCUGUUACUGCAAAGUUUGUUAUUUUAACAAUUAACAUUUGAAAUUAAACAGAUCAAUUUUCUAAAAAAC
Molecule: non-coding RNA, 472 nt
Filed under: Pongo abelii (Sumatran orangutan)
Lineage: Eukaryota; Metazoa; Chordata; Mammalia; Primates; Hominidae
Source: RNAcentral